CCUACGGGCGGCUGCAGUGGGGAAUAUUGGACAAUGGGGGGAACCCUGAUCCAGCCAUGCCGCGUGUGUGAAGAAGGCCCUCGGGUUGUAAAGCACUUUCAGUGAGGAAGAACGCCUGGUGGUUAAUACCCAUCAGGAAAGACAUCACUCACAGAAGAAGCACCGGCUAACUCCGUGCCAGCAGUCGCGGUAAUACGGAGGGUGCGAGCGUUAAUCGGAAUUACUGGGCGUAAAGCGCGCGUAGGUGGCUUGAUAAGCCGGUUGUGAAAGCCCCGGGCUCAACCUGGGAACGGCAUCCGGAACUGUCAAGCUAGAGUGCAGGAGAGGAAGGUAGAAUUCCCGGUGUAGCGGUGAAAUGCGUAGAGAUCGGGAGGAAUACCAGUGGCGAAGGCGGCCUUCUGGACUGACACUGACACUGAGGUGCGAAAGCGUGGGUAGCAAACAGGAUUAGAUACCCCAGUAGUC
Molecule: ribosomal RNA, 465 nt
Filed under: Vreelandella stevensii
Lineage: Bacteria; Pseudomonadati; Pseudomonadota; Gammaproteobacteria; Oceanospirillales; Halomonadaceae
Description: partial 16S ribosomal RNA
Rfam family: Bacterial small subunit ribosomal RNA
Source: RNAcentral